UGGGGGAUAUUGCACAAUGGGGGGAAACCCGUGAUGCAGCGACGCCGCGUGAGGGAAGAAGGUUUUCGGAUUGUAAACCUCUGUCUUCGGUGACGAAAAUGACGGUAGCCGAGGAGGAAGCCACGGCUAACUACGUGCCAGCAGCCGCGGUAAUACGUAGGUGGCAAGCGUUGUCCGGAAUUACUGGGUGUAAAGGGAGCGUAGGCGGGGAUACAAGUUGAAUGUUAAAACUAUGGGCUCAACCCAUAGUUGCGUUCAAAAACUGUAUUUCUUGAGUGAAGUAGAGGUAAGCGGAAUUCCUGGUGUAGUAGUGAAAUGCGUAGAUAUCAGGAAGAACACCGGAGGCGAAGGCGGCUUACUGGACGAUAACUGACGUUGAGGCUCGAAAGCGUGGGGAGCAAACAGGAUUAGAUACCCUGGUAGU
This 424-nucleotide ribosomal RNA is filed under the name uncultured Oscillospiraceae bacterium. RNAcentral's name for it is "bacterial SSU rRNA". It matches the Rfam family "Bacterial small subunit ribosomal RNA", at positions 355 to 794 of the family's 1533-position model. Lineage: Bacteria; Bacillati; Bacillota; Clostridia; Eubacteriales; Oscillospiraceae. The record is from RNAcentral.